UGCAGUCGAGCGGAACGAUCCCAGCUUGCUGGGAGGCGUCGAGCGGCGGACGGGUGAGUAAUGCAUAGGAAUCUGCCCGAUAGUGGGGGAUAACCUGAGGAAACUCAGGCUAAUACCGCAUACGUCCUACGGGAGAAAGCAGGGGCUCUUCGGACCUUGCGCUAUCGGAUGAGCUUAUGUCGGAUUAGCUGGUUGGUGAGGUAACGGCUCACCAAGGCGACGAUCCGUAGCUGGUCUGAGAGGAUGAUCAGCCACAUCGGGACUGAGACACGGCCCGAACUCCUACGGGAGGCAGCAGUGGGGAAUAUUGGACAAUGGGGGCAACCCUGAUCCAGCCAUGCCGCGUGUGUGAAGAAGGCCCUCGGGUUGUAAAGCACUUUCAGUGAGGAAGAAAGCUUGUCGGUUAAUACCCGGCAAGGACGACAUCACUCACAGAAGAAGCACCGGCUAACUCCGUGCCAGCAGCCGCGGUAAUACGGAGGGUGCGAGCGUUAAUCGGAAUUACUGGGCGUAAAGCGUGCGUAGGCGGCUUGGUAAGCCGGUUGUGAAAGCCCCGGGCUCAACCUGGGAACGGCAUCCGGAACUGUCAGGCUAGAGUGCAGGAGAGGAAGGUAGAAUUCCCGGUGUAGCGGUGAAAAUGCGUAGAGAUCGGGAGGAAUACCAGUGGCGAAGGCGGCCUUCUGGACUGACACUGACGCUGAGGUACGAAAGCGUGGGUAGCAAACAGGAUUAGAUACCCUGGUAGUCCACGCCGUAAACGAUGUCGACUAGCCGUUGGGGUCCUCGAGACCUUUGUGGCGCAGUUAACGCACUAAGUCGACCGCCUGGGGAGUACGGCCGCAAGGUUAAAACUCAAAUGAAUUGACGGGGGCCCGCACAAGCGGUGGAGCAUGUGGUUUAAUUCGAUGCAACGCGAGACCUUACCUACCCU
RNAcentral lists this ribosomal RNA (931 nucleotides) under Halomonas caseinilytica. Its description in RNAcentral is "bacterial SSU rRNA". It matches the Rfam family "Bacterial small subunit ribosomal RNA", at positions 56 to 981 of the family's 1533-position model. Lineage: Bacteria; Pseudomonadati; Pseudomonadota; Gammaproteobacteria; Oceanospirillales; Halomonadaceae. The record is from RNAcentral.